UGCGCCUUGCCAGCCCGCUCAGAAACUUAAAGGAAUUGACGGGACCCCGCACAAGCGGUGGAUCAUGUUGUUUAAUUCGAUGAUACGCGAAGAACCUUACCAGGUCUUGACAUCCCCCGCGAUGCUUUAGAGAUAAAGCGGAGGUAUUCGGGGAGACAGGUGGUGCAUGGUUGUCGUCAGCUCGUGUCGUGAGAUGUUGGGUUAAGUCCCGCAACGAGCGCAACCCCUAUUGCUAGUUACCAUCAUUAAGUUGGGGACUCUAGCGAGACUGCCAGUGAUAAACUGGAGGAAGGUGGGGAUGACGUCAAGUCCUCAUGGCCUUUAUGACCAGGGCUACACACGUACUACAAUGGCCGAUACAAAGGGCAGCGACACUGCGAGGUGAAGCCAAUCCCGUAAAAUCGGUCUCAGUCCGGAUUGGAGUCUGCAACUCGACUCCAUGAAGUUGGAAUCGCUAGUAAUCGUGGAUCAGCAUGCCACGGUGAAUACGUUCCCGGGCCUU
RNAcentral lists this ribosomal RNA (502 nucleotides) under uncultured Acholeplasma sp. RNAcentral's name for it is "bacterial SSU rRNA". It matches the Rfam family "Bacterial small subunit ribosomal RNA", at positions 903 to 1382 of the family's 1533-position model. The record is from RNAcentral. Lineage: Bacteria; Bacillati; Mycoplasmatota; Mollicutes; Acholeplasmatales; Acholeplasmataceae.